RNAcentral lists this ribosomal RNA (493 nucleotides) under Bacillus sp. FNA-3. RNAcentral's name for it is "bacterial SSU rRNA". It matches the Rfam family "Bacterial small subunit ribosomal RNA", at positions 1 to 493 of the family's 1533-position model. The record is from RNAcentral. Lineage: Bacteria; Bacillati; Bacillota; Bacilli; Caryophanales; Bacillaceae.
UAGAGUUUGAUCCCUGGCUCAGGACGAACGCUGGCGGCGUGCCUAAUACAUGCAAGUCGAGCGAACAGAAGGGAGCUUGCUCCCGGAUGUUAGCGGCGGACGGGUGAGUAACACGUGGGUAACCUGCCUGUAAGACUGGGAUAACUCCGGGAAACCGGAGCUAAUACCGGAUAGUUCCUUGAACCGCAUGGUUCAAGGAUGAAAGACGGUUUCGGCUGUCACUUACAGAUGGACCCGCGGCGCAUUAGCUAGUUGGUGGGGUAAUGGCUCACCAAGGCGACGAUGCGUAGCCGACCUGAGAGGGUGAUCGGCCACACUGGGACUGAGACACGGCCCAGACUCCUACGGGAGGCAGCAGUAGGGAAUCUUCCGCAAUGGACGAAAGUCUGACGGAGCAACGCCGCGUGAGUGAUGAAGGUUUUCGGAUCGUAAAGCUCUGUUGUUAGGGAAGAACAAGUGCGAGAGUAACUGCUCGCACCUUGCGGACCAACCA